Molecule: long non-coding RNA, 294 nt
Filed under: Rhinopithecus bieti (black snub-nosed monkey)
Lineage: Eukaryota; Metazoa; Chordata; Mammalia; Primates; Cercopithecidae
Description: lncRNA (ENSRBIG00000046272.1)
Source: RNAcentral
CUCUUUCUUAAACAGCCAUCACAAGACAUUCACAGUUCAGGGUGUGAAGCAGGUACAAUCUCGCCAAAGCAACUGGAAAUCUGAGAAGAGACAAGACACACACAUAAACGAAUAUCCUACAAACUCUUUGAAUGCAGUUACUUUCAGCCUGUAUUGCUUCACGCAUCGAGACCACACAUUUCCUAGGAGUGAAGGCAAGCCGUGUCCUCACAGCACCUCAUACAGAGGAGAACCAGACUAUAUUGCUUUUUUUCCUUCUGCGACCUCUAUUACUAUGAAGCAGCUCUGACGAAA